ACAUUCAAAGAAUUUAGAAGAUGAUGGGGGGACCCAGGCCAUCUCAGGCCUAUGAAUAGUUCCGCCCCUGCUACUCAUAGGUACCACUCAAAGUACCCAAGCACAAUAUAUGAUGGUCAACUCACGGGUACACCAUGGUACACCUCUCCCAACCCCGUGGUUUUCCCGAUUCUCCCACAUUACCUCUAAAUAAUCAUACAUAAUCUUAUGCUAAUUGGCACGACUACCAAUUCUGUUAGGGGAACUUAUUAUGGGAGAAAUCAUUUGCACUCAAAGAACCGUCUCAAGAUGGCAAUGCUCAAGAAUAACACAACACUUGAGCUUCCCUAAGUAAAAUGCAACAACUGAAAAUGAGUGGUGUUCCUUUUCAGACUUGUAAGGUUCUCAUAUAACGUGAAAUAUGAUAAACAAUAUAACAUGAACUGAUGGCAAGCACAAAAUACCCAAAAAAAAAGAGAAAAAAGAAAAAGAAAAAACUUAACAAAGUUGGGGCUAAACUAAAAAUUCCACCCUCCAAAAUACAACUAUUCAUGUAUUGCUCGAAUUUAAACAGUUUUUUCCUCCAACCAUGCACACUCAUAAUUUGAGUCCGCAUCUUUAUUAAAUUGUUUUAAAAUGGUUAACCC
Molecule: long non-coding RNA, 626 nt
Filed under: Prunus dulcis (almond)
Lineage: Eukaryota; Viridiplantae; Streptophyta; Magnoliopsida; Rosales; Rosaceae
Description: sRNA ncRNA
Source: RNAcentral